AAUCAGCUCCUGUGAAAGACAGUUUGUCUGCAUUUGGAAUUGUAAAAUAUCAAGCCUCUCUCUUGUCUGGAUUAUCUGCUGCUUAUAUUUGGCUAAGUAUUCAUUUAACCCCUUUAGUUGCUGCUUAACAGCCUUCAAUUUGCUCCAAAUUUGCUGCAUAUGAGUGCCAUAAUAGACCUUCUCCCGGACUUUUUUCACAAUUUCAUGAAACUGCUCAUGUUCCAU
Molecule: long non-coding RNA, 225 nt
Filed under: Nicotiana benthamiana
Lineage: Eukaryota; Viridiplantae; Streptophyta; Magnoliopsida; Solanales; Solanaceae
Description: long non-coding RNA (NBEN_LNC014389)
Source: RNAcentral